AACGUAGGGGACGAACGUUAUCCGGAGUUACUGGGCGUAAAGGGCGUGCAGGCGGCUCGAUAAGUUCGGCGUGAAAUUUCCCGGCUUAACCGGGGGAUGUCGUCGGAGACUGUCGAGCUAGAGGGUGGUAGAGGCGUGUGGAAUUCCGGGUGUAGUGGUGAAAUGCGUAGAGAUCCGGAGGAACACCAGUGGCGAAGGCGACACGCUGGGUCAUACCUGACGCUAAAGCGCGACAGCAUGGGGAGCGAACGGG
RNAcentral lists this ribosomal RNA (253 nucleotides) under uncultured bacterium. RNAcentral's name for it is "partial 16S ribosomal RNA". It matches the Rfam family "Bacterial small subunit ribosomal RNA", at positions 524 to 776 of the family's 1533-position model. The record is from RNAcentral.